This 428-nucleotide long non-coding RNA is filed under the name Mustela putorius furo (domestic ferret). RNAcentral's name for it is "lncRNA (ENSMPUG00000031194.1)". The record is from RNAcentral. Lineage: Eukaryota; Metazoa; Chordata; Mammalia; Carnivora; Mustelidae.
CAAACACAGCCCUGGGGCCUCUCGGCUCCGCUGCGGUGCUGUGGCCCCAAACCACACCCUUUGUGCUUCCACAGGUUUUGAGAAGUGUUUGAUCAGAGAAGAACGUGCCGGUCCCGGGGGAGCUGUGGAGACGGAGCAGAGGCCUCACAAUUCAUGAGUCAUACCCAGGCAUUACUAGCAACGAUCCCACACUGAUCCUUGCCUUACCAGCUCUUACACAGAGAUCAAGGAGCCUCUGGGGACACCAAGAGAGGCACACACAGUGGUACGUGACUUCCACCUCCAUGUCAGCAAGCAGGACCUCAAUGCCUCCGCGGGAAGCAUCUGCUGCCCACACAGCCAGGGGGUGUUGGUUGAGUCCCUGCCUUGUACCAGGCGCUGUUUCCUGCCCUGGAAGCACAGCCUUGAAUAAAACAACCAAACCCCAG